Cavia aperea (Brazilian guinea pig) is the source of this 106-nucleotide small nuclear RNA. The record is from Ensembl. Lineage: Eukaryota; Metazoa; Chordata; Mammalia; Rodentia; Caviidae.
AUGCUCACUUUGUCAGCACAUAUACUAAAACUGAACAAUACAGAGAAGAUUAGCAUGGCCCCUGCACAAGGAUGACAAGCAAAUUCAUGAAGGGUUCCAUAUUUUU